AUCCAGCUGACGAGUCCCAAAUAGGACGAAUCACGCGUCAAACUGGAU
RNAcentral lists this non-coding RNA (48 nucleotides) under Schistosoma mansoni. Lineage: Eukaryota; Metazoa; Platyhelminthes; Trematoda; Strigeidida; Schistosomatidae. The record is from RNAcentral.